CCUGACGCAGCGACGCCGCGUGAGUGAUGAAGGCUUUCGGGUCGUAAAGCUCUGUCAAGUGGGAAGAAAAAGGAAAGUUAUAAUAUGGCUUUCUUUUGACGGUACCGCUAAAGGAAGCACCGGCUAACUCCGUGCCAGCAGCCGCGGUAAUACGGGGGGUGCAAGCGUUAUUCGGAAUUAUUGGGCGUAAAGGGCGCGCAGGCGGUUGCUUAAGUCAGAUGUGAAAGCCCGGGGCUUAACCCCGGAAGUGCAUUUGAAACUAAGUGACUUGAGUAUGGGAGAGGGAAGUGGAAUUCCUGGUGUAGAGGUGAAAUUCGUAGAUAUCAGGAGGAACACCAGUGGCGAAGGCGACUUCCUGGACCAAUACUGACGCUGAGGCGCGAAGGCGUGGGGAGCGAACAGGAUUAGAUACCCUGGUAGUCCACGCAGUAAACGAUGAACACUAGGUGUAGCGGGUAUUGACCCCUGCUGUGCCGCAGUUAACGCAUUAAGUGUUCCGCCUGGGGAGUACGGUCGCAAGAUUAAAACUCAAAGGAAUUGACGG
RNAcentral lists this ribosomal RNA (544 nucleotides) under uncultured bacterium. Its description in RNAcentral is "bacterial SSU rRNA". It matches the Rfam family "Bacterial small subunit ribosomal RNA", at positions 382 to 916 of the family's 1533-position model. The record is from RNAcentral.